GGGGUUCCAGGCAUCUGUCUCCUAUAGAUCCAGGUCUCUAUCAUCUCAGCAGCUUAGCCAGCAGGUCAGGGGGUUCCAGGCGUCUGUCACCACGUAUACUGUAGGCCUCUCACACCAGCAAAUCCAGACACACACACACACUAUGUGGAUCAUGUCCCCUCUGUACUUUGAUGGCAUCGUGUUAAACUCUUCAGUCGACCACAGGGAUGUCUGACCCGACCUGUGAUUUUUAUAUUCAUGAUCGUAUCAUAUUCAUGCUUAAGUACUCUUCAAAUAAAGUAUGA
Oncorhynchus tshawytscha (Chinook salmon) is the source of this 284-nucleotide long non-coding RNA. Lineage: Eukaryota; Metazoa; Chordata; Actinopteri; Salmoniformes; Salmonidae. The record is from Ensembl.